RNAcentral lists this transfer RNA (79 nucleotides) under Mrakia frigida. RNAcentral's name for it is "tRNA-Leu (CAG) (tRNA-Leu-CAG-1-1)". It matches the Rfam family "tRNA". From Rfam's summary of the family: Transfer RNA (tRNA) molecules are approximately 80 nucleotides in length. Their secondary structure includes four short double-helical elements and three loops (D, anti-codon, and T loops). The record is from RNAcentral. Lineage: Eukaryota; Fungi; Basidiomycota; Tremellomycetes; Cystofilobasidiales; Mrakiaceae.
GGGAGAGUAGCCAAGUGGUUACGGCGCCCGCUUCAGGCGCUGGUCUUCACAGGCGCGGGUUCGAAUCCCGUCUCUCUCA